This 347-nucleotide unclassified non-coding RNA is filed under the name soil metagenome. RNAcentral describes it as "partial contains 5.8S ribosomal RNA, internal transcribed spacer 2, and large subunit ribosomal RNA". The stretch from base 1 to 119 matches the Rfam family "5.8S ribosomal RNA", at positions 35 to 154 of the family's 154-position model. The record is from RNAcentral.
GAUGAAGAAGUAGCAAAAUGCGAUAAGUAAUGUGAAUUGCAGAAUUCAGUGAAUCAUCGAAUCUUUGAACGCACAUUGCGCCCGCUGGUAUUCCGGCGGGCAUGCCUGUUCGAGCGUCAUUUCAACCCUCAAGCCCCCGGGUUUGGUGUUGGGGAUCGGCUCUGCCCUUCUGGGCGGUGCCGCCCCCGAAAUACAUUGGCGGUCUCGCUGCAGCCUCCAUUGCGUAGUAGCUAACACCUCGCAACUGGAACGCGGCGCGGCCAUGCCGUAAAACCCCAACUUCUGAAUGUUGACCUCGGAUCAGGUAGGAAUACCCGCUGAACUUAAGCAUAUCAAUAAGCGGAGGA